RNAcentral lists this ribosomal RNA (410 nucleotides) under Escherichia coli. Its description in RNAcentral is "bacterial SSU rRNA". It matches the Rfam family "Bacterial small subunit ribosomal RNA", at positions 561 to 970 of the family's 1533-position model. Lineage: Bacteria; Pseudomonadati; Pseudomonadota; Gammaproteobacteria; Enterobacterales; Enterobacteriaceae. The record is from RNAcentral.
UAAAGCGCACGCAGGCGGUUUGUUAAGUCAGAUGUGAAAUCCCCGGGCUCAACCUGGGAACUGCAUCUGAUACUGGCAAGCUUGAGUCUCGUAGAGGGGGGUAGAAUUCCAGGUGUAGCGGUGAAAUGCGUAGAGAUCUGGAGGAAUACCGGUGGCGAAGGCGGCCCCCUGGACGAAGACUGACGCUCAGGUGCGAAAGCGUGGGGAGCAAACAGGAUUAGAUACCCUGGUAGUCCACGCCGUAAACGAUGUCGACUUGGAGGUUGUGCCCUUGAGGCGUGGCUUCCGGAGCUAACGCGUUAAGUCGACCGCCUGGGGAGUACGGCCGCAAGGUUAAAACUCAAAUGAAUUGACGGGGGCCCGCACAAGCGGUGGAGCAUGUGGUUUAAUUCGAUGCAACGCGAAGAACC